Molecule: ribosomal RNA, 301 nt
Filed under: uncultured bacterium
Lineage: Bacteria
Description: partial 16S ribosomal RNA
Rfam family: Bacterial small subunit ribosomal RNA
Source: RNAcentral
CAGUCGCCGCGGUAACACGGAGGGAGCUAGCGUUGUUCGGAAUUACUGGGCGUAAAGCGCGCGUAGGCGGUUACUCAAGUCAGAGGUGAAAGCCCGGGGCUCAACCCCGGAACUGCCUUUGAAACUAGGUGACUAGAAUCUUGGAGAGGUCAGUGGAAUUCCGAGUGUAGAGGUGAAAUUCGUAGAUAUUCGGAAGAACACCAGUGGCGAAGGCGACUGACUGGACAAGUAUUGACGCUGAGGUGCGAAAGCGUGGGGAGCAAACAGGAUUAGAUACCCGCGUAGUCCCUGUCUCUUAUAC